AGGAGUCGGACCUGCCCGGUGAAAAAUUUUAACGGCCGCGGUACUCUGACCGUGCAAAGGUAGCAUAAUCACUUGCCUUAUAAUUGAAGGCUGGUAUGAAUGGUUUGACGAAAGCAGCUCUGUCUCUUUUUUAUUUCAUAGAAAUUAACCUUCAGGUGAAGAGGCCUGCCUAGAAUUGAAGGACGAGAAGACCCUGUCGAGCUUUAAGAGAAAAAGGAGAACCUUAUAACUAAUAAAUAUAAAACCUUUAUUUAUCUUUUGGUUGGGGCGACUAGGGAACAAUAAAAGCUUCCCUUACUUAAAAAACUUUUGUGUAAGGAUCCAGCAGUGAUUGCUGAUUGAAAGAAUUAGUUACCGCAGGGAUAACAGCAUAAUCCUUCCUGAGAGACCUAAUCGAAGGAAGGGGUUGUGACCUCGAUGUUGGACUAGGAUGUCCUGAGGGUGCAGAAGCCUUCGAGGGUUGGUCUGUUCGACCAUUAAUAAUCCU
This 487-nucleotide ribosomal RNA is filed under the name Cerithium mangrovum. RNAcentral describes it as "partial 16S ribosomal RNA". It matches the Rfam family "Bacterial large subunit ribosomal RNA", at positions 1848 to 2597 of the family's 2925-position model. Lineage: Eukaryota; Metazoa; Mollusca; Gastropoda; Cerithiidae. The record is from RNAcentral.